GAGGGGAAACGACAUCGAAAGCUUGCUUUCGAUGGGCGUCGACCGGCGCACGGGUGGGUAACGCGUAUCCAACCUGCCCAUCACUUGGGGAUAACCUUGCGAAAGUAAGACUAAUACCCAAUGACGUCUCUAGAAGACAUCUGAAGGAGAUUAAAGAUUUAUCGGUGAUGGAUGGGGAUGCGUCUGAUUAGCUUGUUGGCGGGGUAACGGCCCACCAAGGCGACGAUCAGUAGGGGUUCUGAGAGGAAGGUCCCCCACAUUGGAACUGAGACACGGUCCAAACUCCUACGGGAGGCAGCAGUGAGGAAUAUUGGUCAAUGGGCGAGAGCCUGAACCAGCCAAGUAGCGUGCAGGAUGACGGCCCUAUGGGUUGUAAACUGCUUUUAUAAGGGAAUAAAGUGAGCCUCGUGAGGCUUUUUGCAUGUACCUUAUGAAUAAGGACCGGCUAAUUCCGUGCCAGCAGCCGCGGUAAUACGGAAGGUCCGGGCGUUAUCCGGAUUUAUUGGGUUUAAAGGGAGCGUAGGCCGGAGAUUAAGCGUGUUGUGAAAUGUAGACGCUCAACGUCUGCACUGCAGCGCGAACUGGUUUCCUUGAGUACGCACAAAGUGGGCGGAAUUCGUGGUGUAGCGGUGAAAUGCUUAGAUAUCACGAAGAACUCCGAUUGCGAAGGUAGCUCACUGGAGCGCAACUGACGCUGAAGCUCGAAAGUGCGGGUAUCGAACAGGAUUAGAUACCCUGGUAGUCCGCACGGUAAACGAUGGAUGCCCGCUGUUGGUCUGAAUAGGUCAGCGGCCAAGCGAAAGCAUUAAGCAU
This 813-nucleotide ribosomal RNA is filed under the name uncultured Bacteroidota bacterium. Its description in RNAcentral is "bacterial SSU rRNA". It matches the Rfam family "Bacterial small subunit ribosomal RNA", at positions 64 to 867 of the family's 1533-position model. The record is from RNAcentral. Lineage: Bacteria; Pseudomonadati; Bacteroidota.